Molecule: ribosomal RNA, 522 nt
Filed under: Candida tropicalis
Lineage: Eukaryota; Fungi; Ascomycota; Pichiomycetes; Serinales; Debaryomycetaceae
Description: eukaryotic LSU rRNA
Rfam family: Eukaryotic large subunit ribosomal RNA
Source: RNAcentral
UCAAAUUUGAAAUCUGGCUCUUUCAGAGUCCGAGUUGUAAUUUGAAGAAGGUAUCUUUGGGUCUGGCUCUUGUCUAUGUUUCUUGGAACAGAACGUCACAGAGGGUGAGAAUCCCGUGCGAUGAGAUGAUCCAGGCCUAUGUAAAGUUCCUUCGAAGAGUCGAGUUGUUUGGGAAUGCAGCUCUAAGUGGGUGGUAAAUUCCAUCUAAAGCUAAAUAUUGGCGAGAGACCGAUAGCGAACAAGUACAGUGAUGGAAAGAUGAAAAGAACUUUGAAAAGAGAGUGAAAAAGUACGUGAAAUUGUUGAAAGGGAAGGGCUUGAGAUCAGACUUGGUAUUUUGUAUGUUACUUCUUCGGGGGUGGCCUCUACAGUUUAUCGGGCCAGCAUCAGUUUGGGCGGUAGGAGAAUUGCGUUGGAAUGUGGCACGGCUUCGGUUGUGUGUUAUAGCCUUCGUCGAUACUGCCAGCCUAGACUGAGGACUGCGGUUUAUACCUAGGAUGUUGGCAUAAUGAUCUUAAGUCG